Molecule: small nucleolar RNA, 107 nt
Organism: Sorghum bicolor (sorghum)
Lineage: Eukaryota; Viridiplantae; Streptophyta; Magnoliopsida; Poales; Poaceae
Rfam family: Plant small nucleolar RNA R71
About the family: R71 is a member of the C/D box family of snoRNAs containing the C (UGAUGA) and D (CUGA) box motifs.
Source: Rfam
AUUCCAUGAUGGGGACAUUCUAGGAUGUAGUCUUGAAAGCGCUCCCAUGCUUCUGGAACAGAUUCAUCAUUUUGUUGCUGAAAACUUGUUAUCUUCCCACGGAGAGC